UACAGAGGUGCCAAGCGUUGCUCGGAAUUACUGGGCGUAAAGCGCACGUAGGCGGCUUUCUAAGUCGGGGGUGAAAUCCUGGAGCUCAACUCCAGAACUGCCUUCGAUACUGGAGAGCUCGAGUCCGGGAGAGGUGAGUGGAACUGCGAGUGUAGAGGUGAAAUUCGUAGAUAUUCGCAAGAACACCAGUGGCGAAGGCGGCUCACUGGCCCGGUACUGACGCUGAGGUGCGAAAGCGUGGGGAGCAAACAGG
This 253-nucleotide ribosomal RNA is filed under the name uncultured bacterium. Its description in RNAcentral is "partial 16S ribosomal RNA". It matches the Rfam family "Bacterial small subunit ribosomal RNA", at positions 524 to 776 of the family's 1533-position model. The record is from RNAcentral.